Molecule: ribosomal RNA, 743 nt
Filed under: Trifolium repens (white clover)
Lineage: Eukaryota; Viridiplantae; Streptophyta; Magnoliopsida; Fabales; Fabaceae
Description: eukaryotic LSU rRNA
Rfam family: 5.8S ribosomal RNA (bases 300-455)
Source: RNAcentral
UGUGAAGGUAAAAAGUCGUAACAAGGUUUCCGUAGGUGAACCUGCGGAAGGAUCAUUGUCGAUGCCUUACAUGCAGACCAACACGUGAAUCAGUUUGAACACAUAGGGUUGGUUUGAGGUGUUCAACACCUCGGCUUGCCUCUGGUUCGGAGGAGGACGAUGUUGUGCGUUCUCCUUUGUGCCAAAACACAAACCCCGGCGCUGAAUGCGUCAAGGAAUUUAAAAUUUGCUCUGAGCGCACCUGCAUGGCACCGGAGACGGUUUUCGUGCGGGUUGUGUUCUGACACAUAAUAUAGAAUGACUCUCGGCAACGGAUAUCUAGGCUCUUGCAUCGAUGAAGAACGUAGCGAAAUGCGAUACUUGGUGUGAAUUGCAGAAUCCCGUGAACCAUCGAGUCUUUGAACGCAAGUUGCGCCCGAUGCCAUUAGGUUGAGGGCACGUCUGCCUGGGCGUCACAUAUCGAAGCCUCUCGCCAAUUUCCUAUAUUGAUAGGGGUAUUGUGCAGGGCGAAUGUUGGCCUCCCGUGAGCUUUAUUGCCUCAUGGUUGGUUGAAAAUCGAGACCUUGGUAGGGUGUGCCAUGAUAGGUGGUGGCUGUGUUACGCACGAGACCAAGUAAGUCAUGUGCUGCUCUAUUGAAUUUAGGCCUCUUUUACCCACAUGCGUUUCGAAACGCUCGUGAUGAGACCUCAGGUCAGGCGGGGCUACCCGCUGAAUUUAAGCAUAUCAAUAACCCGGAAGGAAA